Small nucleolar RNA from Rhincodon typus (whale shark), 119 nucleotides. RefSeq annotates it as small nucleolar RNA SNORA26. NCBI's taxonomy places the organism in Eukaryota, Metazoa, Chordata, Chondrichthyes, Orectolobiformes, Rhincodontidae. The transcript has a single exon. The record is from RefSeq and is a predicted model, not a curated record.
UUGCCCAUUUAAAACUGACAGUGUCUUAAGUGGCCAACACAGAAGGGUAGAUCAUUUUCAUUCUCAAACCCAAAGCAAAGUGCCUGUGAAUGCUUUGGAUCCUGUCGAGUGGAACAUAU